AGUUCUACUGCGGGAGGAGAAUAAAAGAAGGUAAAGAAGUAAAUAGUGAGAUACAGGGAAAAAAUAUAAUCUUGAUCGUUUUAGGGACCACUCCUUAACACUGUA
This is a non-coding RNA of Ceratotherium simum simum (southern white rhinoceros), 105 nucleotides long. The record is from RefSeq and is a predicted model, not a curated record. NCBI's taxonomy places the organism in Eukaryota, Metazoa, Chordata, Mammalia, Perissodactyla, Rhinocerotidae.